Molecule: transfer RNA, 72 nt
Filed under: Dipodomys ordii (Ord's kangaroo rat)
Lineage: Eukaryota; Metazoa; Chordata; Mammalia; Rodentia; Heteromyidae
Rfam family: tRNA
About the family: Transfer RNA (tRNA) molecules are approximately 80 nucleotides in length. Their secondary structure includes four short double-helical elements and three loops (D, anti-codon, and T loops).
Source: Rfam by way of RNAcentral
GGUGGCUCAGUGGUAGAGCACUUGCCUUGCAUGCAUGAGGCAUGAGGCCCUGGGUUCGAUUCCUCAGCACCA